Molecule: long non-coding RNA, 1175 nt
Organism: Phyllostomus hastatus (greater spear-nosed bat)
Lineage: Eukaryota; Metazoa; Chordata; Mammalia; Chiroptera; Phyllostomidae
Exons: 3
Source: RefSeq, a predicted model, not a curated record
CGAGCUACAGGGAGGAACAGAAAUAGCGCCGUCACUUGGACUGUUUGCUGCGAUUCGUUCUACCUUUGGUCGGUGAUGGAUGGCGGAUCCCAGCAAGGACCCGUCUCAGCUGAUCCAGAGGAGGGAGGUUCUGUUUCAUGCCACGAAUGCAUUUCAGAAGGCUUCGAGAGUGUUCUGUCUAAAUGCCAGGCUCUGGUGGACCAUGCGGCCUUGGGGGAAAAGAAGGGCAAGCUGGCUUCCUCCUCCUCAUGGAUGAAAACAGAGAUCAGGCAUAAUCAACACAUAAUGAGAGGUCCAGAUCUUAAACGAACAGCUUGGUGAGUUUUGACAAAUGCAUGUACGAAAAACGCCGAACCACCGAGACGCAAAGAACACGUCCCCCACCCAGAGUGCCCCGGGCCCUUCCCGCCCAGGUCUCUGCUCUCCACCGCCCAGAGGCGGCCUCGCACCAGUGAUUGAUUGCACAUUCUCAGAAAGUCACAUAAAUGGAAUCAUGUUCUGUUUGAAGAGGAGUGUGGAUGAUGGGCAGGAACUGGCAGUGCCUGGUGGGAGUGAAACAAUAGUGGAGGUGCCUUGGGAAGCCGUCUGGCAGGUCCUCAAAAAGUUACACGUUGGGCUGCCACAUGCCUCCGCAAUUCCACUCCGAGGUGCACAUACUCAAGGAAAAUGGAAAUACACACAAAAUCUUGUGCGUAAACUUGCAGAGCGGCCUCAUUCAUAACGACCAACAUAUGGAUGCAGCCCAAUGCCCAUCAGCUGAUGAAUGAACCAGUACAAUGUGGUGUUCUAUCCAUGCAAUGGAACAUUUUCAGGUGUAGAAAGGAAUGCUACAUAGAAACUACAGACAUUGGGGGGAGGGAGAAGAGGGGAAGUUGGGACAACUGCAGGAACACAGACAUAACUGAGACAUCAUGGAUGAACCUUGAAAACACCGUGUUAAGUGAAAGAAGCUAGUCACGAAAAACCACAGACUGUGUGAUUCCUUUUACAUGGAAUGUCUAGAAUAGGCAAACCCACCGUGGCAGAAAGUAGAUUACUGGAUGCUCAGGAUCGGAGGGUACGAUGGGGCUGGGGAGGCAGCAGCUAAAGGGUCCAGAUUUUUCUUUUUUGAGGUGGUGACAACGUUGUAAGAUUGGUAAAUUGUACCGUAUUCGAAUUAAAUCUCAACAAAACUA